Vidua chalybeata is the source of this 443-nucleotide long non-coding RNA. RefSeq lists it as uncharacterized. Lineage: Eukaryota; Metazoa; Chordata; Aves; Passeriformes; Viduidae. The transcript is spliced from 3 exons. The record is from RefSeq and is a predicted model, not a curated record.
GCACCACCAAGUUGAGGGCAGGCAGGGUUUAUUGUGACCAUCCAUCCUGACCACUGCAAAAAGCCUGGAGAAACUGCUGCAGCAGCAACCCUACAGAUCCCAAGGCAGCUGGAGCCUUCCCAUUCAGAGAGCUUUGCUCCUCCAGACUUCAAGCCAUAAGGAACUCACUGAGCCAAAAUCUAAAGAUAAUAGAAAAGGUCCAAAGGAGAGCUACAGCGAGCUGAUGCAAAAGGAAAUAUCAGCAAAUUGCAAGUUAGGGCGGAGUGGCUGGAGAAGACCAAAGCAGACACACUCCUUCUGAAGUCAAAAUCCCUGAACAGAGCCAAAGGAAAACGUCUCUCAAGGCAGAAGACCACCCUCUGCUCUACAGUGGGUCUACAAGAGGGAUGGGUUUUUCUCCUGCUUUGGCUGGAAACACCAUCACACUCAGAUGCUCAUGGUUU